AAACGCUUGAAGUCAGUCGCGUUUGCUUGGACUCAGCCUCACUUCGGUCUGGUGCAUUUCCUUGCGAACGGGCCAGCGUCCAUGUGUGUGUUGCUGGAAAAGGGGUUGGGAAAUGUGGCUUCUUCGGGAGUGUUAUAGUCCCUUCUCGUAUACGGCGCAUCAUAUGGAGUGGAACAGCACGUUCUUUUGUGCUUGUGCUGGCAUAAUGGCUUUAAACGA
Molecule: ribosomal RNA, 219 nt
Filed under: Cantharellales sp.
Lineage: Eukaryota; Fungi; Basidiomycota; Agaricomycetes; Cantharellales
Description: partial large subunit ribosomal RNA
Source: RNAcentral